AGGAUGAACGCUGGCGGCGUGCUUAAUACAUGCAAGUCGAGCGGCAGCAUGCACUUCGGUGUGAUGGCGAGCGGCGGACGGCUGAGUAACGCGUAGGAAUGUACCCCAAAGUGAGGGAUAAGCACCAGAAAUGGUGUCUAAUACCGCAUGUGAUCUAAGGAUUAAAAGCUUUAUGCGCUUUGGGAACGGCCUGCGUACGAUUAGCUUGUUGGUAAGGUAAUGGCUUACCAAGGCGAUGAUCGUUAGCUGGUCUGAGAGGAUGAUCAGCCAGACUGGGACUGAGACACGGCCCAGACUCCUACGGGAGGCAGCAGUAGGGAAUUUUCCACAAUGGGCGAAAGCCUGAUGGAGCAACGCCGCGUGCAGGAUGAAGGCCCUUGGGUCGUAAACUGCUUUUCUCUGUGAGGAAUAUGACAGUAGCAGAGGAAUAAGGAUCGGCUAACUCCGUGCCAGCAGCCGCGGUAAU
This 466-nucleotide ribosomal RNA is filed under the name uncultured bacterium. RNAcentral's name for it is "SSU rRNA". It matches the Rfam family "Bacterial small subunit ribosomal RNA", at positions 26 to 524 of the family's 1533-position model. The record is from RNAcentral.